CUCUUGGCUUUGAGACAUGGAGUCCGGUGGUCUUUGGGUGCCCCCUUGUGGACAGUUGGCUCCCUCCUGCUCUCUCCCAGCUGAAGAGGAAAGCCAGCGUCGCACUAGCAAGGGACAAGGAAGGAAGCGGCUCCAAAUGCCGUGGGAGGGACAUUCCUUGGCUCUGCCACCUGUUCCCAGAUUUCUCCUGAUUGCCGGUGAUGGAGCGGGCACCUCUACCAGCCUUGGACGAGUAUAU
Molecule: long non-coding RNA, 238 nt
Filed under: Dasypus novemcinctus (nine-banded armadillo)
Lineage: Eukaryota; Metazoa; Chordata; Mammalia; Cingulata; Dasypodidae
Description: lncRNA (ENSDNOG00000052742.1)
Source: RNAcentral